UACGUAGGCAGCGAGCGUUGUUCGGAAUUACUGGGCGUAAAGAGUGUGUAGGCGGUGCUCUAAGUUCGGUGUGAAAUCUCCUGGCUUAACUGGGAGGGUGCGCCGGAAACUGGAAUGCUCGAACGUGGGAGAGGAAAGCGGAAUUCCUGGUGUAGCGGUGAAAUGCGCAGAUAUCAGGAGGAACACCGGUGGCGAAGGCGGUUCUCUGGGCAUUACCUGACGCUGAGGAGCGAAAGUGUGGGGAGCGAACAGG
RNAcentral lists this ribosomal RNA (253 nucleotides) under uncultured prokaryote. RNAcentral's name for it is "partial 16S ribosomal RNA". It matches the Rfam family "Bacterial small subunit ribosomal RNA", at positions 524 to 776 of the family's 1533-position model. The record is from RNAcentral.